AAGCUCGUAGUUGAAUUUCCGGUCUGGCUGGACGGUCCGCCCUUCGGGUGAGUACUGUCUGUGGUCGGGUCCUACCUUCUGGCGAAGCGUCAUGGCCUUAACCGGCCGUGGCGGGGAACCAGGACUUUUACUGUGAAAAAAUUAGAGUGUUCAAAGCAGGCAAUCGCUUGGAUACAUUAGCAUGGAAUAAUGGAAUAGGACAAUGGUUCUAUUUGUUGGUUUCUAGGACCGUUGUAAUGAUUAAUAGGGAUAGUUGGGGGCAUUAGUAUUCAAUUGUCAGAGGUGAAAUUCUUGGAUUUAUUGAAGACUAACUACUGCGAAAGCAUUUGCCAAGGAUGUUUUCAUUAAUCAAGAACGAAAGUUAGGGGAUCGAAGACGAUCAGAUACCGUCGUAGUCUUAACCAUAAACUAUGCCGACUAGGGAUCGGAUGAUGUUAUUUUUAAUGACUCAUUCGGCGCCCUACGGGAAACCAAAGUGUUUGGGUUCCGGGGGGAGUAUGGUCGCAAGGCUGAAACUUAAAGGAAUUGACGGAAGGGCACCACCAGGGGUGGAGCCUGCGGCUUAAUUUGACUCAACACGGGGAAA
RNAcentral lists this ribosomal RNA (586 nucleotides) under uncultured Paraglomeraceae. Its description in RNAcentral is "SSU rRNA". It matches the Rfam family "Eukaryotic small subunit ribosomal RNA", at positions 624 to 1213 of the family's 1831-position model. The record is from RNAcentral. Lineage: Eukaryota; Fungi; Glomeromycota; Glomeromycetes; Paraglomerales.